UAUCUCUGUAGAGUCUGCAUAUCAAUAAGCGGAGGAAAAGAAACUAACUAGGAUUCCCUUAGUAACGGCGAGUGAAGCGGGAAGAGCUCAAAUUUGAAAUCUUCAAGGUUUACCUUGACGAAUUGUAGUUUAAAGAAGUGUUUUCUGUUGGUGUUUUGGUAAAAGUUCUUUGGAAUAGGACAUCAUAGAGGGUGAGAAUCCCGUAUUUGACCAUUACUUCCAGCGUUGUGAUACACUUUCAAAGAGUCGGAUUGUUUGGGAAUGCAUGUCCAAAAUGGGUGGUAAAUUUCAUCUAAAGCUAAAUAUUGGCGAGAGACCGAUAGCGAACAAGUACCGUGAGGGAAAGAUGAAAAGAACUUUGAAAAGAGAGUUAAACAGUACGUGAAAUUGUCAAAAGGGAAGCGUUUGACACCAGUGUUGUUUUCUCGAAAAUCAAUUAAAAAAAGUUGGAUUUUGUAUUGUUAAGACCUUAUCAGCUUACUGUACUCUUUUCUUGCUUUUUUUAAUGCACUUUCCGUUUAACAAGUCAAGCAUCAAUUUCUUUUGUUGUAAAAGAGUCAUUGGAAGGUGGCUUUCACUUCGGUGAAAGUGUUUAUAGCCUUUGGCUUCUGCAAUCGGAGAGAUUGAGGUCUGCAGCGUAGAUCCUUCGGGGCUAGAUACGUAGAUGCUAAGUUAUAGUUUUUUAUAGACAACUUGUUGACUAUAAUUAAUCAUGUAGCUUACUCGUUUGCGCUAUUUUACCUACGCUUAGGAUGUUGACGAUCAGCUGAGCGC
Molecule: ribosomal RNA, 774 nt
Filed under: uncultured Neocallimastigales
Lineage: Eukaryota; Fungi; Neocallimastigomycota; Neocallimastigomycetes; Neocallimastigales
Description: partial large subunit ribosomal RNA
Rfam family: Eukaryotic large subunit ribosomal RNA
Source: RNAcentral